AUUGAACGCUGGCGGCAGGCCUAACACAUGCAAGUCAAGCGGAUGAAGGGAGCUUGCUCCUGGAUUCAGCGGCGGACGGGUGAGUAAUGCCUAGGAAUCUGCCUGGUAGUGGGGGAUAACGUCCGGAAACGGGCGCUAAUACCGCAUACGUCCUGAGGGAGAAAGUGGGGGAUCUUCGGACCUCACGCUAUCAGAUGAGCCUAGGUCGGAUUAGCUAGUUGGUGGGGUAAAGGCCUACCAAGGCGACGAUCCGUAACUGGUAUGAGAGGAUGAUCAGCCACACUGGAACUGAGACACGAUCCAGACUCCUACGGGAGGCAGCAGUGGGGAAUAUUGGACGAUGGGCGAAAGCCUGAUCCAGGCAUGCCGCGUGUGUGAAGAAGGUCUUCGGAUUGUAAAGCACUUUAAGUUGGGAGGAAGGGCAGUAAGAUAAUACCUUGCUGUUUUGACGUUACCAACAGAAUAAGCACCGGCUAACUUCGUG
This 484-nucleotide ribosomal RNA is filed under the name uncultured bacterium. RNAcentral describes it as "partial 16S ribosomal RNA". It matches the Rfam family "Bacterial small subunit ribosomal RNA", at positions 30 to 507 of the family's 1533-position model. The record is from RNAcentral.